RNAcentral lists this ribosomal RNA (448 nucleotides) under uncultured bacterium. RNAcentral's name for it is "bacterial SSU rRNA". It matches the Rfam family "Bacterial small subunit ribosomal RNA", at positions 335 to 799 of the family's 1533-position model. The record is from RNAcentral.
ACUCCUACGGGAGGCAGCAGUGGGGAAUAUUGCACAAUGGGCGCAAGCCUGAUGCAGCAACGCCGCGUGAGUGAUGAAGGCCUUCGGGUCGUAAAGCUCUGUCCUCAAGGAAGAAUAAAUGACGGUACUUGAGGAGGAAGCCCCGGCUAACUACGUGCCAGCAGCCGCGGUAAUACGUAGGGGCAAGCGUUAUCCGGAAUCACUGGGCGUAAAGGGUGCGUAGGCGGUUUUUCAAGUCAGAAGUGAAAGGCUAUGGCUCAACCAUAGUAAGCUUUUGAAACUGUUAAACUUGAGUGCAGGAGAGGAAAGUGGAAUUCCUAGUGUAGAGGUGAAAUUCGUAGAUAUUAGGAGGAACACCAGUGGCGAAGGCGACUUUCUGGACUGUAACUGACGCUGAGGCACGAAAGCGUGGGGAGCGAACAGGAUUAGAUACCCUGGUAGCACAGAG